Argentina anserina (silverweed cinquefoil) is the source of this 346-nucleotide long non-coding RNA. RefSeq lists it as uncharacterized. The transcript is spliced from 3 exons. The record is from RefSeq and is a predicted model, not a curated record. Lineage: Eukaryota; Viridiplantae; Streptophyta; Magnoliopsida; Rosales; Rosaceae.
GAAGCUGUUGAACUUUUAAUGGAGGUUGAAGACCUUGAUCUGUUAGUUGAGCAUGUUGAUAAGACAAAUUUUAAGAGGACUUGUCUCUACCUCACCAAUUCAGCAAGAAAUACCAUAAAGUGUAUUAGAGCACAUGGUUCCAUGAAUUCCAGUCUUCCACCAUCCCUAUCCCCAUCACUACCACCACUAGCUUGAAGUAAUAAAUUCUGUCAAACCAGUUGAAACGACACCUGUAAGGCCAGUAAGGAAGAUUCAACCAAGGCGCCGGAGAGAUAGGAGGACCCGGUAGUGUUUAUUUGUUUGUGUUUAUUUUGUUCUAAUGUUUUAUCAAGGAUGAUGUAUGAGA